This 239-nucleotide ribosomal RNA is filed under the name uncultured bacterium. RNAcentral's name for it is "partial 16S ribosomal RNA". It matches the Rfam family "Bacterial small subunit ribosomal RNA", at positions 15 to 244 of the family's 1533-position model. The record is from RNAcentral.
GAUCCUGGCUCAGGAUGAACGCUAGCGGCAGGCUUAACACAUGCAAGUCGAGGGGCAGCAUAAUGGAUAGCAAUAUCUAUGGUGGCGACCGGCGCACGGGUGCGUAACGCGUAUGCAACCUACCUUUAACGAGGGGGAUAACACUGAGAAAUUGGUACUAACUACCCCAUAAUAUCAUAGAAGGCAUCUUUUAUGGUUAGAAAAUUCCGAUGGUUAGAGAUGGGCAUGCGUUGUAUUAG